GCUGAACACACGAGCGGCGCACGGGUGAGUAUCGCGUUUGCAAUCUAUCUCUAACUGGAUGAUAGCCCGAAGAAAUUCGGAUUAAUACUCCAUAAAGUCAUAAUUUCGCAUGUUAUUAUGAUUAAAGCUCCGGCGGUUAGAGAUGAGCAUGCGUGUCAUUAGCUUGUUGGUGAGGUAACAGCUCACCAAGGCAACGAUGACUACGGGUUCUGAGAGGAUGAUCCCCCACACUGGUACUGAGACACGGACCAGGCUCCUACGGGAGGCAUCAGUGAGGAAUAUUGGGCAAUGGGCGAAAUCCUGACCCAGUCAUGACGCGUGCAGGAUGACUGCCCUAUGGGUUGUAAACUGCUUUUAUACGGGAAGAAUGGUUCCUACGUGUAGGGAUUUGACCGUACCGUACGAAUAAGCAUCGGCUAACUCCGUGCCAGCAGCCGCGGUAAUACUGAGGAUGCAAGCGUCAUCCGGAUUCCUUGGGUUCAAAGGGUGCGCAGGCGGAAUAUCAAGUCAGUGGUGAAAUCCUGCAGCUUAACUGUAGAACUGCCAUUGAUACUGAUAUUCUUGAAUGUAGUUGAGGUGGGCGGAAUGUGUAAUGUAGCGGUGAAAUGCUUAGAUAUUACACAGAACACCGAUUGCGAAGGCAGCUCACUAAACUAACAUUGACGCUGAGGCACGAAAGCGUCGGGAACGAACAGGAUUAGAUACCCUGGUAGUCCACGCUGUAAACUAUGAUCACUCGCUGUUGGCAAUACAUCGUCAGCGGCUGAGCGAAAGCAUUAAGUGAUCCACCUGGGGAUUACGAUCGCAAGAUUGAAACUCAAAGGAAUUGACGGGGGCCCGCACAAGCGGAGGAACAUGUGGUUUAAUUCGAUGAUACGCGAGGAACCUUACAUGGGCUUAAAUGCAGAUCGACGUUCCGGGAAACCGGAAUUCCUUCGGGCGAACUGCAAGGUGCUGCAUGGCUGUCGUCAGCUCGUGCCGUGAGGUGUCGGGUUAAGUCCCAUAACGAGCGCAACCCUUAUCGUUAGUUGCCAGCGGGUCAUGCCGGGGACUUUAACGAAACUGCCGGUGUAACCCGUGAGGAAGGUGGGGAUGACGUCAAGUCAGCACGGCCCUUAUGUCCAGGGCUACACACGUGUGACAAUGGUCGGUACAAAGGGCAGCUACCAGGCAACUGGAUGAUAAUCUCGAAAACCGAUCUCAGUUCGGAUUGAAGUCUGCAACUCGACUUCAUGAAGCUGGAUUCGCUAGUAAUCGCGCAUCACCC
This 1267-nucleotide ribosomal RNA is filed under the name uncultured organism. RNAcentral describes it as "bacterial SSU rRNA". It matches the Rfam family "Bacterial small subunit ribosomal RNA", at positions 82 to 1354 of the family's 1533-position model. The record is from RNAcentral.